GACCUGCGUUGGGAACCUUGAGAACCGACAGAAGUGGGACUAAAUCCAGGGUUAAGGGAAUGGUGACAGCUCAACUUUGCUGCGUCUGCACCCCCACGCAGACCCAGACAUGCGUGUGUCUGUAUCCCUGCUGCUGGAGAUACUCGGCAGUUCUUCACCGGCGAGCUUUAAGUCCAUGUUCACCAGCUAAAGCUGCCCGCUGAAGAGCUGCUGGGCCCAGCUCUGACCUACAGGAGAACACGCAGGAAGAGGAUUCCAAGGGAUGGGAACAUAUGCCACAAGCUGAUAUUGACCCUGUUGGUGUAGAAGAUGCCUUGGUUCCCUUUAUGGUGGCACCUAACAUGGGUGAGGCUGGGAGUAUAUAUGUACGAGUUUGUACUAAAAACAAACAUAGCCGCUGCACAGGAAAGGCAGUGAGCAAAGGCAAGACUGAAAGCAGAGGCUGGAAAUAAGUGUUGGCAGCUCCGGAGAGCCAGUCUCUCUCUCAUGCUUAGAUUCCCUGUCUCCUCAUUGCUCGGUGACCUUGCUGUACAGUGACUUGCUCCCCUAACUGUGUAAAAAAUCUAUGCCUCUCUAACUUUGUCUUGUAAAUAAAGACUGAAUUUGUCUGGAGACUGAUUUUAGUGAAGUCUGUCCAUGUCACUGAAAAUAAAACACUGCUGACUUCUUAAA
This is a long non-coding RNA of Paramormyrops kingsleyae, 672 nucleotides long. RefSeq lists it as uncharacterized. The record is from RefSeq and is a predicted model, not a curated record. Lineage: Eukaryota; Metazoa; Chordata; Actinopteri; Osteoglossiformes; Mormyridae.